CCUACGGGAUGCAGCAGUGGGGAAUAUUGCACAAUGGGCGCAAGCCUGAUGCAGCCAUGCCGCGUGUAUGAAGAAGGCCUUCGGGUUGUAAAGUACUUUCAGCGAGGAGGAAGGCGUUAAGGUUAAUAACCUUAGCGAUUGACGUUACUCGCAGAAGAAGCACCGGCUAACUCCGUGCCAGCAGCCGCGGUAAUACGGAGGGUGCAAGCGUUAAUCGGAAUUACUGGGCGUAAAGCGCACGCAGGCGGUCUGUCAAGUCGGAUGUGAAAUCCCCGGGCUCAACCUGGGAACUGCAUUCGAAGCUGGCAGGCUAGAGUCUUGUAGAGGGGGGUAGAAUUCCAGGUGUAGCGGUGAAAUGCGUAGAGAUGUGGAGGAACACCAGUGGCGAAGGCGGCUCUCUGGUCUGUAACUGACGCUGAGGCGCGAAAGCGUGGGGAGCGAACAGGAUUAGAUACCCGGGUAGUC
This 465-nucleotide ribosomal RNA is filed under the name uncultured bacterium. Its description in RNAcentral is "bacterial SSU rRNA". It matches the Rfam family "Bacterial small subunit ribosomal RNA", at positions 338 to 795 of the family's 1533-position model. The record is from RNAcentral.